Molecule: ribosomal RNA, 993 nt
Filed under: uncultured bacterium
Lineage: Bacteria
Description: bacterial SSU rRNA
Rfam family: Bacterial small subunit ribosomal RNA
Source: RNAcentral
AGAGUUUGAUCAUGGCUCAGAACGAACGCUGGCGGCGUGGAUAAGACAUGCAAGUCGAGCGCUGAUUACAGAGUAGCAAUAUUCUGUAGUCGGAGCGGCGCAAGGGUGCGUAACACGUGGGUAAUCUGCCAUGAAGUUUGGGAUAACUCGCUGAAAGGCGAGCUAAUACCGAAUGUGACGAUUGGAAGGCAUCCUCUGAUCUUCAAAGUUGGGGACCGUAAGGCCUGACGCUUCAUGAUGAGCCCGCGGCCUAUCAGCUAGUUGGUGAGGUAACGGCUCACCAAGGCUAAGACGGGUAGCUGGUCUGAGAGGACGACCAGCCACACUGGAACUGAGACACGGUCCAGACACCUACGGGUGGCAGCAGUCGAGAAUUUUUCACAAUGGGGGAAACCCUGAUGGAGCGACGCCGCGUGGGGGAUGAAUGGCUUCGGCCCGUAAACCCCUGUCAUUUGCGAACAAAUUGGUUCAAUUAACACCUGAGCCAUUGAUAGUAGCGGAAGAGGAAGGGACGGCUAACUCUGUGCCAGCAGCCGCGGUAAUACAGAGGUCCCAAGCGUUGUUCGGAUUCACUGGGCGUAAAGGGUGCGUAGGCGGUCGGGUAAGUCUGAUGUGAAAUCUCACAGCUUAACUGUGAAACUGCAUUGGAUACUAUUCGGCUUGAGGUCUGGAGGGGGGACUGGAAUUCUCGGUGUAGCAGAGAAAUGCGUAGAUAUCGAGAGGAACACCAGUGGCGAAGGCGAGUCCCUGGACAGAUCCUGACGCUGAGGCACGAAAGCUAGGGGAGCAAACAGGAUUAGAUACCCUGGUAGUCCUAGCUGUAAACGGUGCUUAUUUGCUGUAAAAGGAAUCGACCCCUUUUGUGGCGUAGCAAACGCGUUAAAUAAGCCGCCUGGAAGUACGGUCGCAGAUUAAACUCAAGAAACUGACGGGGCUGCACAGCGGUGGAGUAUGUGGCUUAAUUCGAUGCACGCGAAGAACCUUACCUGGUCU